ACUGAUCCUCCCCAAGUUCAGCAAUGAGUACGGUAUUCUGGACCCGGCCCAUAGAGGGUGAAAGGCCCGUUAGGGUGGAGUGUCAGACUGGCCAGUGUCUCUCUGGAUAGACCUUGGAGUCGGGUUGUUUGUGAAUGCAGCCCAAAGCGGGUGGUAAACUCCAUCCAAGGCUAAAUACAAACACGAGUCCGAUAGCGAACAAGUACCGUGAGGGAAAGUUGAAAAGUACUUUGAAGAGAGAGUAAACAGUGCGUGAAACCGCUCAGAGGUAAGCAGGUGGAGUUGAACUGCAAGCCUUGAGAAUUCAGCUGGUGAGUUGUGGUUUGAGCUUGGUCAAAUUGGUUGGGCCCCAAGGUAUGCUUAUCUGCAUGUCCUUCCUUCGGGUUGGGUGCCCCGAGGCACCUUAUCAAGUGUUGCGCGCCUUGGGCGUCUUUCGAGCCUACUUGCCAGUGCACUUUCUCAUGGUAUUCAUCACGACCGGCGCUGCUGUCGGGCUGUUCUUGUUAAACCGGUUUUGUAAGGUCCUUGUGGCUUUGCUUGAUCGGGAUGGCAGGUAGCCUGUUUGCUUGCUUCGGCUUGCUUUCAGGUGUAAUCAGCUGACUGCAAUGGUUCUGUGCGGUGUGUCGGAGACGGCGGCUUGUGGUGUGUGCGUGCGUGCCUUAUCUGCUGGCGGAUCUCGGUCUGGUCACUAUGUUGCUUGUUCAAGCAGGCCUAGUUAUCGAUGAGCAUGGACUGGAUGGCCGCAGAGUCGAGUGGACUUCCCUCCCCAACCUACGAGUCUAACCAGGAUCCCUCAGAACGCGA
RNAcentral lists this ribosomal RNA (804 nucleotides) under Polylekithum ictaluri. RNAcentral's name for it is "eukaryotic LSU rRNA". It matches the Rfam family "Eukaryotic large subunit ribosomal RNA", at positions 162 to 628 of the family's 3401-position model. The record is from RNAcentral. Lineage: Eukaryota; Metazoa; Platyhelminthes; Trematoda; Plagiorchiida; Allocreadiidae.